AUGAUCGCAACUUCAGGCAGGUUGAGAACAGGAGAGCCAAACUUGCCACCGAUGGCGCCUAUGUUGCUCAGUGUUAUGGUUCCACCAGUGAUAUCGUUGGUGCUUAGUCUGUUUUGCAGUGCCAUCUCAUGUAAUCUUGACAAUUCCUUUGUGAUCUGGUGUAAUCAUGGAAAAAACAUUGGGCAGGCAAGCCACAAAAGGAACUAUGUCCAAAUGAAGAUGUGA
This 225-nucleotide ribosomal RNA is filed under the name Triticum aestivum (bread wheat). RNAcentral's name for it is "partial small subunit ribosomal RNA". The record is from RNAcentral. Lineage: Eukaryota; Viridiplantae; Streptophyta; Magnoliopsida; Poales; Poaceae.